Molecule: ribosomal RNA, 253 nt
Filed under: uncultured bacterium
Lineage: Bacteria
Description: partial 16S ribosomal RNA
Rfam family: Bacterial small subunit ribosomal RNA
Source: RNAcentral
UACGUAGGGUGCAAGCGUUGUCCGGAAUUAUUGGGCGUAAAGCGCUCGUAGGCGGUCUGUCGCGUCGGCUGUGAAAACCCGGAGCUCAACUCCGGGCCUGCAGUCGAUACGGGCAGACUGGAGUUCGGCAGGGGAGACUGGAAUUCCUGGUGUAGCGGUGAAAUGCGCAGAUAUCAGGAGGAACACCGGUGGCGAAGGCGGGUCUCUGGGCCGAUACUGACGCUGAGGAGCGAAAGCGUGGGGAGCGAACAGG